Molecule: long non-coding RNA, 2014 nt
Organism: Panthera uncia (snow leopard)
Lineage: Eukaryota; Metazoa; Chordata; Mammalia; Carnivora; Felidae
Exons: 5
Source: RefSeq, a predicted model, not a curated record
ACCACAGGUCCACAUAGAUCAGCGGUUCUCAGGCCUUGUAGCAAUCCGGAAUCACCGUGGAGGACGACAAGAAGGAAUCUUGGGAAUCCUGCCCAUCGCAGACCAACUGAAUCAGAGUCUGCAGGGGUGAUUCUGAUGCACACCACAGAGGGUUCAUGAAGGCCAAGGAGACAGUGGGAUCUCCCAGGAAAGAGAGAAAGAGUGAGUGCAAAACACAGUCCCGAACCCCAAAGCAUCUUACUAUUGAGCACCAGAAGUGUGUACUUCCUGUCAGUAAAGAAUGCGCUUAAUUGAACUCUAAUGAGCUUUCCACUACUGGCCGCACUCCGGCCCACGGAAUACAUGAAUCACUUGUCCUUAUGCAGUGCAAGAGUCCUCCGCUAAUGUUUGGAGCCCUAAACGUAGCCACUUGAGCUUCCCAUCUAUCAGGCAUAGUUAGGGAUCUCAGAAGCCUCACAUAGCCUGGCGAUAAAACAGAGAAAGAGCUGGAAGGCAAUAAGUGACAAACCCCAGCCCUUCCUAGAUGUCGCUGUGGACAAUGGAUGCUGUCUCCUAGAAACAAUCCCUUUGCCUUGCACCCCAAGACCGGAUGAAGUGAACAUUUCUGAAACACGUCCAGGAGACAGACUGUUCUCUGGGAGGCUACGAGCUGUCUCUCCUAGCAAAGAAGGGAAAAACGAUGAAUGCCCGGAAGUCCGAUCACUGGAUUAAAAGAGAAACGACAUGAAGAGGCCACGUGCAGGUGCUCUAGCCACAGCCCAGCUAAAGACCCCUCCGUCAGCCAGCAUUAAUCACCAGCCACGAUUGUCUGAGGGAUGUGACAUACAUGAAAAGAGUUCAGAGAGUGAAAUUUGGGAUUCCCAGAAUCUCUAUUGGAUUCGAUCUGCCACCUGCCCAUCCCUUCUACCUUUCGCCUGUGGAUCCUGGAAUUGGAGUAGGAAAUGGUUGUAACUCCACAGCACCCUCACAUGGUUCGCCCACCCCAACCUCCCACUUCCAAUGCAGGGCCAGCCUGAAGGGAGGGUACCGAGAAGCAAAACAGCAUCCCUGGCUGCCUAAGUCUUUUUGUGGCAUCGGAUGGACAGACACGCUGAUGAGGAGCAGACUUGUUGCAUGAAAAACAAAUUCUCCUGAAAUACAAGACUCACGCACAGGAGUCAACCCUGAUAAACCGAGAAUAACAGCUCACUCUGUGUGCUCUUCAGUUAGAAGCUUUAACUGGGACCCAGCAACAGUUUCCCCAAGUCACGGCAAGGAUGGAUAGAAGCAGCCCGUGUCUCCUAUUUGCACACUUGAUUUCUAAACAUCAUUUAAAUGCAACAGCGAGAAAAUAGAGUAAUUCAGGAGCAGCAGAUAGGAACCUGAUUCCAGUCACUCUCUGGACAAGACAUUUUCUCUCAACAAUUCAGAGGCCCUUGAAAUGUGCACUUAACCAUACAACGUGUUUUGUGUGUCAGUGGCACAGUCUCUUUGUUGAGAAUUAAUUGUAUGUGCCUUCACUCCUGUUGAAACUACCCUCUAAGAAGACUGGCAGACUUCCAGGGACCCCGGCCCCUGGGACUGACACCCAAGUUCGGGACUUCUUAGUGACUCGGAAUCUGAGAGCCGGACAUUCACACAGUGUUCUUGCUUAAAGGUUCUCUUUGCUGUAAGCUACCCGAGAAGUCAUCACAACGUACAGAGGACAAUGAGCUCUUCACUUCCCGUGAAGUCACCCCACUGUCACUCCAAGGGCACCUUCUUUGCGUUUGUGCACAUCAAAGAAGCUUGAGGGCAAGAUCAUAGCCCCCUGGCCCAGCCCUAGAUUGCGAGCACACAGUGAGGUCAACAACAACAGAAUGCUUUCCUGAUUCAUGGUAAUUCAUCUUCAAAGGACCAGUCCCCUCUCUGGAGGAUCCUCAGGCAUUUUAAGAUGAGUUCCAUCUAAUCGGGCUCAUAAAAGCCCUUCCAGCUUAAUUAAUUUGCUCCAGGUAACUUGUAUAGAAAGCCUGAACACAAAAGAAAAUUAAAAUAU